Molecule: ribosomal RNA, 409 nt
Filed under: Verrucomicrobiota bacterium
Lineage: Bacteria; Pseudomonadati; Verrucomicrobiota
Description: Verrucomicrobia bacterium partial 16S ribosomal RNA
Rfam family: Bacterial small subunit ribosomal RNA
Source: RNAcentral
UGGGGAAUAUUGCACAAUGGGCGGAAGCCUGAUGCAGCGACGCCGCGUGAGGGAUGACGGCCUUCGGGUUGUAAACCUCUUUCAGUAGGGACGAAGCGUAAGUGACGGUACCUGCAGAAGAAGCACCGGCUAACUACGUGGCAGCAGCCGCGGUAAUACGUAGGGUGCGAGCGUUGUCCGGAAUUACUGGGCGUAAAGAGCUCGUAGGCGGUUUGUCACGUCGUCUGUGAAAUCCUAGGGCUUAACCCUGGACGUGCAGGCGAUACGGGCUGACUUGAGUACUACAGGGGAGACUGGAAUUUCUGGUGUAGCGGUGGAAUGCACAGAUAUCAGGAAGAACACCGAUGGCGAAGGCAGGUCUCUGGGUAGUAACUGACGCUGAGGAGCGAAAGCAUGGGUAGCGAACAGG